RNAcentral lists this ribosomal RNA (386 nucleotides) under uncultured prokaryote. Its description in RNAcentral is "bacterial SSU rRNA". It matches the Rfam family "Archaeal small subunit ribosomal RNA", at positions 339 to 725 of the family's 1478-position model. The record is from RNAcentral.
GCGCGAAAACUUUACAAUGCUAGCAACAGCGAUAAGGGAACCUCGAGUGCCAGGUUACAAAUCUGGCUGUCGAGAUGCCUAAAAAGCAUUUCAUAGCAAGGGCCGGGCAAGACCGGUGCCAGCCGCCGCGGUAACACCGGCGGCUCGAGUGGUAACCGUUAUUAUUGGGUCUAAAGGGUCUGUAGCCGGCCGGAUAAGUCUCUUGAGAAAUCUGGCAGCUUAACUGUCAGGCUUUCAGGAGAUACUGUCUGGCUCGAGGCCGGGAGAGGUGAGAGGUACUUCAGGGGUAGGGGUGAAAUCCUGUAAUCCUUGAAGGACCACCAGUGGCGAAGGCGUCUCACCAGAACGGACCUGACGGCAAGGGACGAAAGCUAGGGGCACGAACU